GGCUGUCAGCGGCGGCGCAGGGCUGCGGGCGAGGGGCGGAGCAGAGAGACCCUGUGUCUGCUAUGGCCGCCUCCCCUUCCCCGCAGCCUCCCUUAAAUACUAUGGGGCGAGCGUAGUUGUGGUGGGUGUUGCUGCUUAGCGCACCAUGCGGGCUGUCAUCGCCUUGGCCGCGGCGUUGGGCAGCUUGCUGCUCGGCGGCUGCCUUCUGCGUCUGGGUGGACAGCAGCCCCUCCGCGCCAGGGGCUGGGAGCAGGACGCGGGGGUAGCUGCUGUCACGCCGAAAGUGGUGCGAGCCCUCAGGCCGCCCCUAACGCCCCUUCCGCGGACCGAGAACAGAACAGCUGUUAAUAAAAAUGGAAUUUACCAGUUUGAACAGGCUUCAAAAUGUAAGGCAAUUCAGGACAACAUUUUGUCAUCAUCUACCAAGAAGAAAAGAUAUACAGAAGACUAUUAUCUUCACAUCGUCACAAAACUGCAGAACUGCACCUGGAUAAGGAGACCAGAAGAAUCUAUGAAAUUCAGGUCAGAAUUAGCUUCCUGCUGUGAUGCAGUUCACAAUUUUAUUGCUUCUCAAAACAACAGCCCUCUGGGAAGUAACAUGAGUUAUGAAGUGGACAGUAAAAAGACCAUCCUCAUUACAGAGGACAUUUUUAAGAUGCUGCCUGUGUCCUCUCCUCUUUCGGUCUAUCCCUUCAAGACCUGUGCUGUGGUUGGAAACGGGGGCAUUCUGAAAAAUUCCAGCUGUGGAGCUGAAAUAGAUCGUUCUGACUUUGUGUUUAGGUGUAACCUCCCUCCAACCAUGGGAAGCAUUAGCAAAGAUGUUGGCAAUAAAACAAACCUUGUGACUGUUAAUCCGAGUAUCAUAGCUCAGAAAUACAACAAGCUAAAUGAAAAGAAGGCUGAAUUUCUGGAGAACAUUGCGGUCUAUGGAGAUGCUUUGCUUUUAUUGCCAGCGUUUUCCUUCAGAAGCAACACAGCCACUUCUUUUAAAGUGUAUCACACUCUGCAAGAGUUCAAAGCAACCCAAAGGGCAAUAUUUUUUCACCCCAGUUACCUGAAAAGCCUCGCCCAGUUCUGGAGAACUAAGGGUGUGAAAGCCUACCGGUUGUCAUCUGGUUUUAUGAUCACUAGUGCUGCUCUUGAGCUCUGUGAGAAUGUGAAGCUCUAUGGUUUCUGGCCUUUCUCAAAAUCCAUGGAGAAGAUGCCAAUCAGCCACCACUAUUAUGACAACCAGCUGCCUAAACCAGGUUUCCAUGCAAUGCCCAAAGAGUACAACCAGAUUCUUCAGCUUCAUGGCAAAGGCAUUUUGAAGUUGCAGUUUGGUAAAUGUGAAUCAGACUAAAAAGGUAAAGAUAAGUUUAGAGCGGUGUGCUCUCACAGCCUCGGAUGCAGCACAGCUUGUGGACAGCAGUGAGGAAGCUGCCGUACACUACAGCAGAUCUUGCUGAGGAUUUUACCUUGAGGUAGCUCAGAAUCUGGAAGUUAGAAAUAUAGGAAGAAAUGUCAUUCCCUUUCUUCUGUUCUUUCUAACUGUCCCAUCCCCCUUGCAUCUCUGUGUAUUGCCUUAGAGAAGGGCAGCCCAUAGUCUGGACUCUGGCCUUAAACCAGUUUACUGUGUACAGAUUAUAGAUUACUUUGAAAAUAUUUGUCUGCAUGUUUUCAAUCUUGAUUUGCCCAGUUCACAAAAUAAGAUCAAUUUGUAUAAAUACUUCCAUCUUUUAAGCUAACUCAAAUUUCAGCUCACGAUACUGUUGUCAGAUGUGCCUUUUACAGACCUGUAUUUUUCCAGGGGAUUCAAAUUAGUGUAACAGUAGGUGUAAUGUGUGGUAGAACUAGCAUUGUACACAAUAUGCUUUAACUGGACUGAUGUAAUCUCACAACUCUAUUACUCAAAUAAAUAAAAAUAGCAUCAACUUGUUCAAGGUAGAAAUUUAAAGUUCAAAAGCUUUUCUUCUGGCUAUGUGAAAUUUGUUUGAAAAUCUCCUUUGAUGGUAUUUACAAAACGUGUUACCAAAGAUACAUUCGCACUUGGUUCAUCGUCAGAGACUGCUAAGUUUUAAAUUAGCAGAUUGCUAGUACCAAGGAGGCACAAUUUUAUUCAGACACAGUUUUAUUUGAAGAAUAAACUACUUCCGUACAUUAUUAGAAUGAUACCAAACAUGUAAGAAGGGACCUUAGAAGCAAUCUAGUGAAUCUGCUGUCCUAGUCCAUGACAGGAGUUUACCUAGGAGGAGGGGUAUGUGUAUGCCGUUUCACAUGGCUAAGGUAUGCUUUUUUACUUGUGAAGAGUUGCAGCAUACUGGAAAGGUUAAGAAAUACAUAAUGCAUUUUUUCCUAGUAGCUAAGCUGUUUAUACCCUCCAGUUUCCAUUGUAUUUAUUCUCCCUGUAAUAUAAAUGGCUGGUGACAUACCAUGCAAUUUUAAUUGUAGUAACUACACCAGCUAAGAAAAUGAAAGGCAGCUCCUUAGGAAUAUUUAAUUUAGGGAGAAGCAGAUAGAAGCCACAAAAAUAUUUAAGCAUCUGUAUGGGUUAAUUAAACAUUGUCCAUGCUUGACAGACUGAAAAUCACUUCUGUUGCCAAAUUUGCAAAAGAAAAAAAACACCAGAAGGGUAAGAUGUGCUGCCCUAAUUUACAUUUAUACGAAGAAAAGUGAGUCCUUUCAAACUAAAGGAAUUAAAUGCUUUCAGUAUGAGCUACCAUUCUGCUAUUAUCAGCUAUUAGAGAUAAUUGAAAUUCUAUAAUGAGUAUAUUUUACUGAAGAUGACCGUUUCUAAAAAUUGAACAAUCUCCUUGCUCUUUUCAGUUUCCCUUUUAUGUUCUUCUCUCUGCUUUGUGCUCUUCCCUGUUAGUGGGUAGCUGAAGAAGAUUCCUUACACCACUGGGUGCCCACAGAAGUCUCAGGCAGACCCAUUAGUGGAACAUGAAAGUUUGGUGCUAUAAAUAAAAAGUGAAGGAAGCUGCUUUGCUGCAUGCACCUAUAUUGUAAGUGGGUAGCAGGUUCUGGAGCAUCACGGGGAGAGCGUAACUGCAUCCCAGUGAAUCGUUUUGGUAGUAUUGCUCCUAAGCACCAUCUUUGCCAUCGUAAAGGUGAACUUUUGGAGUUCAUGAGAGUCCAGUAGAGAUGGUGCUGAACAACAUGAGAACUCCAUUUGUGUUCAUAUCAGCUCCUGCCCCUCUACAGUUACGCUCAACAGACAUGUCCGUAUCUCCUCCUCUAAAGUAAAUGCAUAUCUAUCACAGAUGGUAAAAUGGAAAGUGAGACAUCAGCAGAAUCUUAAAAUGUAAUUAAAAUAAUGAUCUUUAUUAUUUUUUAUUACAUUACCAAAUCAGUUUUGCUAUGGCCCUGCAGCUGAAGGAAGUCUUGUUUGAGCAUUGGUUUAACCUGAUAAGCCUGAAGGGCAUGUCAUUACCUUCAAAUAAACAUACGUUCAAGGAGGGGAAAUGGGGCCUGAUUCAUAUUUAAAAAUAGACAGAAAAAUCUGAUUACACAAAUUGUCAGAUGAUAAAUUAAUCCAACUGGCAAAAAUGUGAUUGCCCAGAAGCCUGGUUAAAAUGCAGGUUUUGUCUGACCAAGAAUGCAUCAAGUUUUCUGUUUGCUACAAAGAGACAGCAGGGAAGAUGAGUAUGUGUUGCUUUGACAUCCAGCACAGUAACAUUAAGCAGCUGCUCAAAGGAGUCAGUCAACAGAGAAAAAAAAAACAAACGUGGAAAGGAAG
RNA transcript from Neopsephotus bourkii (Bourke's parrot), 3718 nucleotides. It is a transcript of the gene named ST8 alpha-N-acetyl-neuraminide alpha-2,8-sialyltransferase 6, with no coding region annotated. The transcript is spliced from 10 exons. Lineage: Eukaryota; Metazoa; Chordata; Aves; Psittaciformes; Psittacidae. The record is from RefSeq and is a predicted model, not a curated record.